AAUGUGUGUUGCUCCUUGUGGCAGGUAUACUGUUCCAAUGCCCUGGGAUCUCUGUAGUGGUCGGUACUGUAUUGAUUAUAAAUGGUGAAGUCCUAGUAUCUUGCUAGAGUGAGCUGGCCAGGAUGGUGGAGCUCUACCACCAUUUCACAGGUUAUAGACAGGGGCCACCAGGUUUCAGGAAAGCAGCAAUGACCCCUCAGUAAUAGUUGGAAAGUGUGAUAUGACACUGAGCUUCACUGUGUUGGUGAAGAAGAGGUGAGGAAAAUAAAAGCUGCAGUUUGCCUCCACCUCUGAAGAAGCACAAUACACCUUUCUGGGUUACCAAUGGGAUACUUCCCAACAGCUUUGUCAUCACAUACAAUAUUCUCAAACAAGAUCUUAAUGGCAUCUACUUUCUCCAGGAACACAGCCCCUGACCUGUGUGUGUUUGCGUAGAGAAGGCAUGCUAUGUACCCCCUAGGAUAUGAAUCUGCCCACCACUCAAGCCUGGGAAAGCUGGCAGAGGAUGCACGUGUUUUACUCACCUGAGUGUUUACAAUGCUCGUGAGGUGCCUCCCUGAUAGUAAUGAUAGCAUCUCACAGUUCAGUUUAAGGAAGCAAUACAGAGACAUGCAAAUCAUCCCUAAGACAUGAGUACUCCAUGUGAGGGUGUUGUGAGGGCCUAAGAAGAAAGACAAUCAUUUGGGACAACGUUCUGAGAAGGGAGAUGGUUGCUGCCCUCGUGGAUUUAACAGACUUGGUUAUGUGGCUAGUUUUCUUUUUCUUCUUCCAUACCUGAACUGUGGUACUCAAGAGAAUCAUCUGAAGCUUGUGUUGGACAGGACAGGCAAUAACUUCAAACUGAAUAAUGAGGCCCAAGAUGGACAGUCCCUCGUUGAGGGUCAGAGCCAGCACCCUUGUAGACUGUGACUACUAGGCCAACUCCUAGAGCUAGAGUUCCAUAUGGACAAGGACAAGCUCUAGCUAGAUCAGAGCAAUUUCAUCACAAAGCAAGUUUUAUUUUCAAUCAUCGCUGCAGACCACAAAGGUCAGGCUAAAUAUCGACAGAUCUCUAUUGUGGGAAAAUUUGGACUUUUGGCUUAUUAUCAGUACUCAACCUUGAUAGGCAGCACCAGAUUAACUGCUAAAGAUUCUAUGCAUCUUUAUCUCAUUAGCCUUUUACAUUUUAUCCUGUUUCUUAGCCUCGGCUGGGGGACGGGUACAGUCAACUCCCACUGGAGCAACAACAUAAAAGGUGGGAAGGAAAAUGUUUAUGUUGACACCAGGGUAGUGAAAGCUAUCCAAGCUAUGGGGAAUUUAAUGCUGAGGAAAGGCAAGAUCAGGGUGGAGCAUCCGGCUGGGGUAGCUGCCUUUCACUGGACCCCUACCAGCCCAGUUUGGGACAUGCAAGGGGAACAGCACAUAGAUAAAGCUUUCUCAAGGUUUAUGAAAGAACAGACGGCAGCACAGCUAACCUCCAGUGCAAAUAAAAAUCAUACAUUUAAGGAAAC
This 1490-nucleotide long non-coding RNA is filed under the name Homo sapiens (human). RNAcentral describes it as "HSALNT0322385". Lineage: Eukaryota; Metazoa; Chordata; Mammalia; Primates; Hominidae. The record is from RNAcentral.